RNAcentral lists this ribosomal RNA (1371 nucleotides) under uncultured bacterium. RNAcentral describes it as "bacterial SSU rRNA". It matches the Rfam family "Bacterial small subunit ribosomal RNA", at positions 28 to 1381 of the family's 1533-position model. The record is from RNAcentral.
GAUGAACGCUGGCGGCGUGCCUAAUACAUGCAAGUCGAGCGAACGGACGAGAAGCUUGCUUUUCUGAUGUUAGCGGCGGACGGGUGAGUAACACGUGGAUAACCUACCUAUAAGACUGGGAUAACUUCGGGAAACCGGAGCUAAUACCGGAUAAUAUUUUGAACCGCAUGGUUCAAAAGUGGAAGACGGUCUUGCUGUCACUUAUAGAUGGAUCCGCGCUGCAUUAGCUAGUUGGUAAGGUAACGGCUUACCAAGGCAACGAUGCAUAGCCGACCUGAGAGGGUGAUCGGCCACACUGGAACUGAGACACGGUCCAGACUCCUACGGGAGGCAGCAGUAGGGAAUCUUCCGCAAUGGGCGAAAGCCUGACGGAGCAACGCCGCGUGAGUGAUGAAGGUCUUCGGAUCGUAAAACUCUGUUAUUAGGGAAGAACAUAUGUGUAAGUAACUGUGCACAUCUUGACGGUACCUAAUCAGAAAGCCACGGCUAACUACGUGCCAGCAGCCGCGGUAAUACGUAGGUGGCAAGCGUUAUCCGGAAUUAUUGGGCGUAAAGCGCGCGUAGGCGGUUUUUUAAGUCUGAUGUGAAAGCCCACGGCUCAACCGUGGAGGGUCAUUGGAAACUGGAAAACUUGAGUGCAGAAGAGGAAAGUGGAAUUCCAUGUGUAGCGGUGAAAUGCGCAGAGAUGUGGAGGAACACCAGUGGCGAAGGCGACUUUCUGGUCUGUAACUGACGCUGAUGUGCGAAAGCGUGGGGAUCAAACAGGAUUAGAUACCCUGGUAGUCCACGCCGUAAACGAUGAGUGCUAAGUGUUAGGGGGUUUCCGCCCCUUAGUGCUGCAGCUAACGCAUUAAGCACUCCGCCUGGGGAGUACGACCGCAAGGUUGAAACUCAAAGGAAUUGACGGGGCCCGCACAAGCGGUGGAGCAUGUGGUUUAAUUCGAAGCGACGCGAAGAACCUUACCAAAUCUUGACAUCCUUUGACAACUCUAGAGAUAGAGCCUUCCCCUUCGGGGGACAAAGUGACAGGUGGUGCAUGGUUGUCGUCAGCUCGUGUCGUGAGAUGUUGGGUUAAGUCCCGCAACGAGCGCAACCCUUAAGCUUAGUUGCCAUCAUUAAGUUGGGCACUCUAAGUUGACUGCCGGUGACAAACCGGAGGAAGGUGGGGAUGACGUCAAAUCAUCAUGCCCCUUAUGAUUUGGGCUACACACGUGCUACAAUGGACAAUACAAAGGGCAGCGAAACCGCGAGGUCAAGCAAAUCCCAUAAAGUUGUUCUCAGUUCGGAUUGUAGUCUGCAACUCGACUACAUGAAGCUGGAAUCGCUAGUAAUCGUAGAUCAGCAUGCUACGGUGAAUACGUUCCCGGGUCU